This 474-nucleotide ribosomal RNA is filed under the name uncultured bacterium. RNAcentral's name for it is "bacterial SSU rRNA". It matches the Rfam family "Bacterial small subunit ribosomal RNA", at positions 328 to 793 of the family's 1533-position model. The record is from RNAcentral.
UUGUCACACUCCUACGGGAGGCAGCAGUGGGGAAUAUUGCACAAUGGGGGAAACCCUGAUGCAGCCAUCGCCGCGUGUGUGAAGAAGGCCUUCGGGUUGUAAAGCACUUUCAGUAGGGAGGAAGGUAGUGUAGUUAACACCUGCAUUAUUUGACGUUACCUACAGAAGAAGCACCGGCUAACUCCGUGCCAGCAGCCGCGGUAAUACGGAGGGUGCGAGCGUUAAUCGGAAUUACUGGGCGUAAAGCGCAUGCAGGCGGCCUGUUAAGUCAGAUGUGAAAGCCCCGGGGCUUAACCUCGGAAUUGCAUUUGAAACUGGCAGGCUAGAGUCUUGUAGAGGGGGUAGAAUUUCAGGUGUAGCGGUGAAAUGCGUAGAGAUCUGAAGGAAUACCAGUGGCGAAGGCGGCCCCCUGGACAAAGACUGACGCUCAGAUGCGAAAGCGUGGGGAGCAAACAGGAUUAGAUACCCUGGUAG